Homo sapiens (human) is the source of this 774-nucleotide long non-coding RNA. Ensembl annotates it as DISC1 fusion partner 1. Its record names the gene DISC1FP1. The record is from Ensembl. Lineage: Eukaryota; Metazoa; Chordata; Mammalia; Primates; Hominidae.
AGAAGUGCUUAUUUCCCCUUCGCUUUCCACCACGAAUAUUUUUCCUGAGGCCUCCCAGUCAUGCUUCCUGUUUUGCCUGCAGAACUGCAUUUAUGAAGUAGGGACCUGGAAUUGAAGAGACUCCUAAAGGAGAGACAGAAGUUUGAAAGAGCAAGAAGAGUGGAUGUGGAUCCAGACAGAAAAAGAGAACAGCAAAUAUUUGAAAGAGCUUAAGACGUACUCCUCAAGGGGUUUCUCCUUUUGCGUCUUUCUCAUUUCUUUUGCUGCCACCGUGUAAGAAGUGCCUUUUGCCUCCUGCCAUGAUUCUGAGGCCUCCCCAGUCAUGUGGAACUGUACCACAGAUAGAAGCCUUGAGAAGCUUACUUUGGUCAGAAAUUUUGCCUUUGUCUGCAGGCUUCUACCAGUUCGAUUCCAUCUGUGGGUCUUAGGUUUCAGUUACCUGAAGUCAAAUGUGGUCCAAUACACAGACUGGAAUAAGAGACAUUGGAGACUCCAAAAGAAUAUUUUCUGGUAGACUGAUAUAUUUCUCCUAAAAAAUUUGGAAAAAUUUUGUGAUGAAGAAGCUACCUGGGCCUGAAGAUAUCUUUUCUGGACAAAGUAAAUGAAUGAUUGAAGACCUGCAAACUGUGUUUGUAACGACUUUCUAAGAUUGAUAGCCUCCGUGUUUCAAUGCUCAUGGAGCAGAUGGAUAUGACUGACACUGCCCUUAAUACUACAGCAUGAUCCAAAGCAUCACCAAAGUCUUCAAAGAGAAAGUAAAAAAAAAAAAAUGCC